This 253-nucleotide ribosomal RNA is filed under the name uncultured bacterium. Its description in RNAcentral is "partial 16S ribosomal RNA". It matches the Rfam family "Bacterial small subunit ribosomal RNA", at positions 524 to 776 of the family's 1533-position model. RNAcentral also lists the same sequence under 1 other name. The record is from RNAcentral.
UACAGAGGGUGCAAGCGUUGCUCGGAAUCAUUGGGCGUAAAGGGCAAGUAGGUGGUCUCAUUUGUCUUGUGUGAAAUCCUUGGGCUUAACUCAAGAAGUGCGCAAGAAACGGUGAGACUCGAGUUCUGGAGAGGGUCGUGGAAUUCCCGGUGUAGCGGUGAAAUGCGUAGAGAUCGGGAGGAACACCAGAGGCGAAGGCGGCGACCUGGACAGAUACUGACACUCAACUGCGAAAGCGUGGGGAGCAAACAGG